Molecule: ribosomal RNA, 465 nt
Filed under: uncultured bacterium
Lineage: Bacteria
Description: partial 16S ribosomal RNA
Rfam family: Bacterial small subunit ribosomal RNA
Source: RNAcentral
GAUGAACGCUGGCGGCGUGCUUAACACAUGCAAGUCGAACGGAAAGGCUCCUGCUUGCAGGGGUACUCGAGUGGCGAACGGGUGAGUAACACGUGGGUGAUCUGCCCUGCACUUCGGGAUAAGCCUGGGAAACUGGGUCUAAUACCGGAUAGGACCACAUUUUGGAUGGUGUGGUGGAAAGUUUUUCGGUGUGGGAUGAGCUCGCGGCCUAUCAGCUUGUUGGUGGGGUAUUGGCCUACCAAGGCGUCGACGGGUAGCCGGCCUGAGAGGGUGUACGGCCACAUUGGGACUGAGAUACGGCCCAGACUCCUACGGGAGGCAGCAGUGGGGAAUAUUGCACAAUGGGCGCAAGCCUGAUGCAGCGACGCCGCGUGGGGGAUGACGGCCUUCGGGUUGUAAACUCCUUUCGCUAGGGACGAAGCGCAAGUGACGGUACCUGGAGAAGAAGCACCGGCUAACUACGUG